Molecule: ribosomal RNA, 573 nt
Filed under: uncultured microorganism
Description: bacterial SSU rRNA
Rfam family: Archaeal small subunit ribosomal RNA
Source: RNAcentral
CAGCUCUCCGAGUGGUAGGGAUGAUUAUUGGGCCUAAAGCGUCCGUAGCAGGCUUAGCAAGUCUCCUGUUAAAUUCAGCGACCUAAUCGUUGAGCCGCGGGAGAUACUACUAGGCUAGGAGGCGGGAGAGGUCGACGGUACUUCUGGGGUAGGGGUGAAAUCCUAUAAUCCCGGGAGGACCACCAGUGGCGAAGGCUGUCGACUAGAACGCGCUCGACGGUGAGGGACGAAAGCUGGGGGAGCGAACCGGAUUAGAUACCCGGGUAGUCCCAGCCGUAAACGAUGCGGGCUAGGUGUUGGGGUGGCUACGUGCCACUUCAGUGCCGCAGGGAAGCCAUUAAGCCCGCCGCCUGGGGAGUACGGCCGCAAGGCUGAAACUUAAAGGAAUUGGCGGGGGAGCACCACAAGGUGUGAAGCUUGCGGUUUAAUUGGAGUCAACGCCGGAAAUCUCACCGGGGGCGACAGCAGAAUGAAGGUCAGAUUGAAGGUCUUACCAGACAAGCUGAGAGGAGGUGCAUGGCCGUCGCCAGUUCGUGCCGUGAGGUGUCCUGUUAAGUCAGGCAACGAUCAAGA